RNAcentral lists this ribosomal RNA (1278 nucleotides) under Lacticaseibacillus paracasei. Its description in RNAcentral is "bacterial SSU rRNA". The record is from RNAcentral. Lineage: Bacteria; Bacillati; Bacillota; Bacilli; Lactobacillales; Lactobacillaceae.
AUUCACAUGGAACGAGUGGCGGACGGGUGAGUAACACGUGGGUAACCUGCCCUUAAGUGGGGGAUAACAUUUGGAAACAGAUGCUAAUACCGCAUAGAUCCAAGAACCGCAUGGUUCUUGGCUGAAAGAUGGCGUAAGCUAUCGCUUUUGGAUGGACCCGCGGCGUAUUAGCUAGUUGGUGAGGUAAUGGCUCACCAAGGCGAUGAUACGUAGCCGAACUGAGAGGUUGAUCGGCCACAUUGGGACUGAGACACGGCCCAAACUCCUACGGGAGGCAGCAGUAGGGAAUCUUCCACAAUGGACGCAAGUCUGAUGGAGCAACGCCGCGUGAGUGAAGAAGGCUUUCGGGUCGUAAAACUCUGUUGUUGGAGAAGAAUGGUCGGCAGAGUAACUGUUGUCGGCGUGACGGUAUCCAACCAGAAAGCCACGGCUAACUACGUGCCAGCAGCCGCGGUAAUACGUAGGUGGCAAGCGUUAUCCGGAUUUAUUGGGCGUAAAGCGAGCGCAGGCGGUUUUUUAAGUCUGAUGUGAAAGCCCUCGGCUUAACCGAGGAAGCGCAUCGGAAACUGGGAAACUUGAGUGCAGAAGAGGACAGUGGAACUCCAUGUGUAGCGGUGAAAUGCGUAGAUAUAUGGAAGAACACCAGUGGCGAAGGCGGCUGUCUGGUCUGUAACUGACGCUGAGGCUCGAAAGCAUGGGUAGCGAACAGGAUUAGAUACCCUGGUAGUCCAUGCCGUAAACGAUGAAUGCUAGGUGUUGGAGGGUUUCCGCCCUUCAGUGCCGCAGCUAACGCAUUAAGCAUUCCGCCUGGGGAGUACGACCGCAAGGUUGAAACUCAAAGGAAUUGACGGGGGCCCGCACAAGCGGUGGAGCAUGUGGUUUAAUUCGAAGCAACGCGAAGAACCUUACCAGGUCUUGACAUCUUUUGAUCACCUGAGAGAUCAGGUUUCCCCUUCGGGGGCAAAAUGACAGGUGGUGCAUGGUUGUCGUCAGCUCGUGUCGUGAGAUGUUGGGUUAAGUCCCGCAACGAGCGCAACCCUUAUGACUAGUUGCCAGCAUUUAGUUGGGCACUCUAGUAAGACUGCCGGUGACAAACCGGAGGAAGGUGGGGAUGACGUCAAAUCAUCAUGCCCCUUAUGACCUGGGCUACACACGUGCUACAAUGGAUGGUACAACGAGUUGCGAGACCSCGAGGUCAAGCUAAUCUCUUAAAGCCAUUCUCAGUUCGGACUGUAGGCUGCAACUCGCCUACACGAAGUCGGAAUCGCUAGUAAUCGC